UCUUGCAAACUAAGGAUGGCGACCGGCGCACGGGUGAGUAACACGUAUCCAACCUGCCGAUAACUCGGGGAUAGCCUUUCGAAAGAAAGAUUAAUAUCCGAUAGUAUAUUAAAACCGCAUGGUUUUACUAUUAAAGAAUUUCGGUUAUCGAUGGGGAUGCGUUCCAUUAGUUUGUUGGCGGGGUAACGGCCCACCAAGACUACGAUGGAUAGGGGUUCUGAGAGGAAGGUCCCCCACACUGGAACUGAGACACGGUCCAA
Molecule: ribosomal RNA, 260 nt
Filed under: uncultured bacterium
Lineage: Bacteria
Description: partial 16S ribosomal RNA
Rfam family: Bacterial small subunit ribosomal RNA
Source: RNAcentral